This 1440-nucleotide ribosomal RNA is filed under the name uncultured organism. Its description in RNAcentral is "SSU rRNA". It matches the Rfam family "Bacterial small subunit ribosomal RNA". The record is from RNAcentral.
GCUCAGGAUGAACGCUAGCUACAGGCUUAACACAUGCAAGUCGAGGGGCAGCAUGGUCUUAGCUUGCUAAGGCCGAUGGCGACCGGCGCACGGGUGAGUAACACGUAUCCAACCUGCCGUCUACUCUUGGACAGCCUUCUGAAAGGAAGAUUAAUACAAGAUGGCAUCAUGAGUCCACAUGUUCACAUGAUUAAAGGUAUUCCGGUAGACGAUGGGGAUGCGUUCCAUUAGAUAGUAGGCGGGGUAACGGCCCACCUAGUCUUCGAUGGAUAGGGGUUCUGAGAGGAAGGUCCCCCACAUUGGAACUGAGACACGGUCCAAACUCCUACGGGAGGCAGCAGUGAGGAAUAUUGGUCAAUGGGCGAGAGCCUGAACCAGCCAAGUAGCGUGAAGGAUGACUGCCCUAUGGGUUGUAAACUUCUUUUAUAAAGGAAUAAAGUCGGGUAUGGAUACCCGUUUGCAUGUACUUUAUGAAUAAGGAUCGGCUAACUCCGUGCCAGCAGCCGCGGUAAUACGGAGGAUCCGAGCGUUAUCCGGAUUUAUUGGGUUUAAAGGGAGCGUAGAUGGAUGUUUAAGUCAGUUGUGAAAGUUUGCGGCUCAACCGUAAAAUUGCAGUUGAUACUGGAUAUCUUGAGUGCAGUUGAGGCAGGCGGAAUUCGUGGUGUAGCGGUGAAAUGCUUAGAUAUCACGAAGAACUCCGAUUGCGAAGGCAGCCUGCUAAGCUGCAACUGACAUUGAGGCUCGAAAGUGUGGGUAUCAAACAGGAUUAGAUACCCUGGUAGUCCACACGGUAAACGAUGAAUACUCGCUGUUUGCGAUAUACUGCAAGCGGCCAAGCGAAAGCGUUAAGUAUUCCACCUGGGGAGUACGCCGGCAACGGUGAAACUCAAAGGAAUUGACGGGGGCCCGCACAAGCGGAGGAACAUGUGGUUUAAUUCGAUGAUACGCGAGGAACCUUACCCGGGCUUAAAUUGCAGAUGAAUUACGGUGAAAGCCGUAAGCCGCAAGGCAUCUGUGAAGGUGCUGCAUGGUUGUCGUCAGCUCGUGCCGUGAGGUGUCGGCUUAAGUGCCAUAACGAGCGCAACCCUUGUUGUCAGUUACUAACAGGUUCCGCUGAGGACUCUGACAAGACUGCCAUCGUAAGAUGUGAGGAAGGUGGGGAUGACGUCAAAUCGGCACGGCCCUUACGUCCGGGGCUACACACGUGUUACAAUGGGGGGUACAGAGGGCCGCUACCACGCGAGUGGAUGCCAAUCCCAAAAACCUCUCUCAGUUCGGACUGGAGUCUGCAACCCGACUCCACGAAGCUGGAUUCGCUAGUAAUCGCGCAUCAGCCACGGCGCGGUGAAUACGUUCCCGGGCCUUGUACACACCGCCCGUCAAGCCAUGGGAGCCGGGGGUACCUGAAGUGCGUAACCGCGAGGAGCGCCCUAGGGUAAA